GGGCCAUAGCUUAGUGGCAGAGCAUCUGCUUGGCAUGCAAACAGUCCAAAUGUUCGAUCCCUGGCAGCUCCA
RNAcentral lists this transfer RNA (72 nucleotides) under Sphaerodactylus townsendi. Its description in RNAcentral is "tRNA-Ala". Lineage: Eukaryota; Metazoa; Chordata; Lepidosauria; Squamata; Sphaerodactylidae. The record is from RNAcentral.